GAUGAACGCUGGCGGCGUGCCUAAUACAUGCAAGUCGAGCGAACAGAGGAGGAGCUUGCUCCUCUGACGUUAGCGGCGGACGGGUGAGUAACACGUGGAUAACCUACCUAUAAGACUGGGAUAACUUCGGGAAACCGGAGCUAAUACCGGAUAAUAUAUUGAACCGCAUGGUUCUAUAGUGAAGGACGGUUUUGCUGUCACUUAUAGAUGGACCCGCGCCGCAUUAGCUAGUUGGUAAGGUAACGGCUUACCAAGGCUACGAUGCGUAGCCGACCUGAGAGGGUGAUCGGCCACACUGGAACUGAGACACGGUCCAGACUCCUACGGGAGGCAGCAGUAGGGAAUCUUCCGCAAAGGGCGAAAGCUUGACGGAGCAACGCCGCGUGAGUGAUGAAGGUCUUCGGAUCGUAAAACUCUGUUAUUAGGGAAGAACAAAUGUGUAAGUAACUAUGCACGUCUUGACGGUACCUAAUCAGAAAGCCACGGCUAACUACGUG
This 497-nucleotide ribosomal RNA is filed under the name uncultured bacterium. Its description in RNAcentral is "partial 16S ribosomal RNA". It matches the Rfam family "Bacterial small subunit ribosomal RNA", at positions 28 to 507 of the family's 1533-position model. The record is from RNAcentral.